AGCUCCAAUAGCGUAUAUUAAAGUUGCUGCAGUUAAAAAGCUCGUAGUUGCAUUUCCGAGGCAAGGGAUUAGUCCGACCUUUGGUGGGUAUUUAAUCCUCUUGCCUCGUCCUUGAGUGGUGCUUCUUGGUAUUAAGUUAUCGAGGAGAUAGCCGCUCAUCGUUUACUGUGAGAAAAUUAGAGUGUUCAAAGCAGGCUUAUGCCGUUGAAUAUAUUAGCAUGGAAUAAUAAGAUAGGACCUCGGUACUAUUUUGUUGGUUUGAGAACCAAGGUAAUGAUGAAUAGGGACAGUUGGGGGUAUUCGUAUUCAGUUGUCAGAGGUGAAAUUCUUAGAUUUACGGAAGACGAACUACUGCGAAAGCAUUUUCCAAGGAUGUUUGCA
This 381-nucleotide ribosomal RNA is filed under the name uncultured marine Chaetocerotaceae. RNAcentral's name for it is "SSU rRNA". It matches the Rfam family "Eukaryotic small subunit ribosomal RNA", at positions 587 to 972 of the family's 1831-position model. The record is from RNAcentral. Lineage: Eukaryota; Bacillariophyta; Thalassiosirophyceae; Chaetocerotales; Chaetocerotaceae.